GGUUGUUGCUGGCUUCUAGGAGC
RNAcentral lists this ribosomal RNA (23 nucleotides) under Parasola conopilea. Its description in RNAcentral is "partial 18S ribosomal RNA". The record is from RNAcentral. RNAcentral also lists the same sequence under 2 other names. Lineage: Eukaryota; Fungi; Basidiomycota; Agaricomycetes; Agaricales; Psathyrellaceae.